CAAUAGCGUAUAUUAAAGUUGUUGCAGUUAAAAAGCUCGUAGUUGGAUUUGUGGCGUACGGUGUGUUCCGGGCACUUGUUGUCUGAGUAACCUGCUGUUGCCAUCCUUGGGUGGAACCUGUGUGGCAUUAGGUUGUCGUGCAGGGGAUGCCCAUCAUUUACUGUGAAAAAAUUAGAGUGUUCAAAGCAGGCUUAUGCCGUUGAAUAUAUUAGCAUGGAAUAAUGAGAUAGGACUUUUUUGCUAUUUUGUUGGUUUGCGCAAGAAGGUAAUGAUUAAUAGGGACAGUUGGGGGUAUUCGUAUUCCAUUGUCAGAGGUGAAAUUCUUGGAUUUUUGGAAGACGAACUACUGCGAAAGCGUUUACCAAGGAUGUUUUCAUUAA
This 380-nucleotide ribosomal RNA is filed under the name uncultured eukaryote. RNAcentral's name for it is "partial 18S ribosomal RNA". It matches the Rfam family "Eukaryotic small subunit ribosomal RNA", at positions 592 to 976 of the family's 1831-position model. The record is from RNAcentral.